CCUCAUUAAAAUCGUUUAGAAAUUUAUUCAAAACUUCAUCAAUCUUUUCUUCUAUAAGGUUUUCAACAUCACUAAAUACUUCCUUAGGCCAUCCAUUUGGAAGAUUCUGCAAAUAAAAUUACAUGAAAAUGAGCAUCAUCUCCAAUAGCCUAAUAUAUCAAAAGGAAGAGUGAAUAUAUAAAUUGGUUCUCGAAAUUAUGAGCACCUAUCAAAAUAGUCUUCGAAUAUUACAAAUUGGUCAAAUGGAUCCUUCGUUAACUUUGUCUUAUUAGAGGUUAUGAUGUACUCCCUCUUGUAAAAUCUAUAAGCAACUAUUCUUUUUUCAGAUUCAUUAAACAACUUAUAUAUCAUACAUCAGUUGCUUAAUGAAUCUGAAAAAGAAAUAGUGGCUUAUAAAUGUUACUGGAGUGAGUAACAUGUUAAAUUAACACGUGGCCUUGUACAUAGAUGCCACAUAAAGGUCAUGUCACCAAAAACUUCUAUGACACGUUAAAUUCAUGUAUAUUUUUUUUCUUCAAAUUCAUUAAACAACUAUCAUUUAACAACUGAUGUAUGAUAGUUGUUUAAUGAACUUGAAAAAAGAAAUAAUAGCUUAUAAAUAUUAUUGGAGGGAGUAACAUGUUAAAUUAACACGCGACCUUGUACGCAGUUGCAACAUAAAGGUCAUGUCACCAAAAACUUCUACGCCAAAUUAAUUUCCAUCUUAUACUUCAUAUUUUAUUGCCACGUGAGCUCUAUGUAAGAGGCCAUGUUCAUUUAACGUAUCACGCGAUAGGAUUAGGGUCUGACAAUAGAUAGAAUUUAGUAGAGGGACAUUUUGACUGAUGUGUUACAUUUGUAGUUUCUAGAAAUGUAUUUGUCAAUACUUAAAAGUCAAAUAUAUUUUGAUUAAUGCUCACAAUUUGAAGAUUAAUUUGCCUAAUUAUUCUCAAAGUCAAACAACAUAUAUACUUCAGAUCAAAUCAAUGAAACAUUUAUCUCAGAAAAUUUUCAUUAGUUUAAGUUUCCAAAUUAGCUUCCAAAGUAGUGCCACAUACCUCCAACUUUCCCAUGGAUGAGGAAACAUUGACAACUUUUGGUGAGCUUGAAAGCUGGAGAAGGGGAAUAAAUGCUUCAGUUAAGUCCUUGGCUCCAUAAUAGUUUGUUUUAAUACCUAAUUCAGUUUGUUCAUAUGUUUGAGUUAUUAUUUUACUCCAAUCAAUCUGGCCACCAUUUUCCUGCAACCAGAAACAAGAAAACUUUAUUUCUUAAAAUCGAAUUGAUGAAGGAAGACACAAAUUUCAAGGCUUGGCUAGAAAUUGUUAAAAAAUAUAUUGAAUACAAAUAAUUUUAGGGAAUGCUAACUUUAACACAAAUAAUUUUAGGGAAUGCUAACUUUUAACACCCUAAUUCCCACAUUUUAUUUUUAUAAUAAAAAUACAUUUACAAUAAAGAAACACAUAAGGGUGUCACACGUCUUCUAUAAAAAAACUUCAAAAGUACUUCAUUCAAAUUAAAAACAUAACAAUGGAAUAGUUUUCAAAAACUUUAAAGUACAUGUUGCAUCACAAUUUCAACACCAAAACUAAAUUCAAAAGAAUUCUAAAAUAGAGUCUAAAAUGAAAAGAAUCCUCAAUCCCUAGUGUCACUGAUCAGAGCUUUGACUCAAUAAAUACUCCUAAAAGCGAUAAACAAAAAAGAGAAAGCUCCAAUGCCAUCCUCCGAAACUCGGUGCUACUUACUUUUGACCACAUCAAGUAUCUUAUUCUCAAUAAUCAUAUCACAUAAAUACAAAUACAAAGCUACUACCACAUUUAUCACGGUUAAGAAUAUUACUAGUAAUUAACAUAUAAAAAGUACUUUGCUCAAAAAAAAAAACAUAUAAAAAGUACUGAUGUCUUCUUAAUUGGUUUCCACCACAAGAAUCUCACAAUUCAAAACAUGUAAAAAAGAAUAUAAAAAUCGUUUGAUAUAAAAAAAAUAUAAUUCAAAUAAAUCGAUUUUCAGGAACAUAUUUGUUACUAGUCAAAACAACUGGUUUAUAGCAUUCACAAAACAAACUUAAUUAAUUCAAAAUGUAUUGUUUGAUUACAGUGAUCCAAAAUCAAAUUAGCAUGAAUACAUAAGUUUUAUAUUAUUAAUCAUCGAUUUCAUAUAGAUUUCAGGCAAAUAUUUAUUAUCCGAAGGCAAUCACGUCGUGUUUAGUAACAAAAUAAACCUAAUUCAAUUUUGAUAUAGCACCGUAAAAAAUAAUAAUAAUAAUUACAGCAACAUGAAAAGCAUCCUUUUAGCACCGUAACCCUUCGUUACUAGUUUUAAUCUUUUCUGAUAGUUUCUCUCAAAAAAAACGUUAACUUAUUUACCAAUUUAGUCCUUUAUGUUUUGCUCUGUUCCUAAUUUUAGUCCUUUCUAUUCACGUUUUUUUGAGAGAAACUAACAUAAAGGACUAAAACUAGUGACAAAUCAAAACAUAGAGGACCAAAUUGAUACAAAUUAUAGUUAAGGAACCAAAUUGAGACAAUCAAUUAAGUUAAGGACCAGGUGAUUGAAUAAGCCUAAAAUUAAUAAAAUACGACCAAAUCGAAAACGAAAAUAAAGAUAAGGACCAAAUUAAAAGGUUUAAUAAUGAAGGGACCGACGGAUAUAUCAAGCUUAUUAACAAAAGUACAUCUAUUAAGUAAAACUGCCUCAGCUUUUGGAGAAAAGUAAUCAUACUUCAAUAUUAGCAGCAACAAGAGCCUCACCGUCCACUUCUGCUCCAGUAAUUCCAGCAUUAUUUACCUAAACAAAGUGUGUUUCAAAUAUUUGUAGUCAUCAAUCAAUAACCUAUAAUUUUUCAUUUGUAAAAAAUUUCAUGUGACUUGUAUCAAUGAUUUAUGAGACUCAUGGAUAUAGCUCAUCUUAAAUUAUCAACAAAGUCAAUUUUAAUUGAGAAUCUCCAAUUAAUUAGUUCAUUCUUAUAGUCAAACUCAAUUAUGAUCGAGAACCUCCUAACAUAUCAAAAUCAAUUUGAAGUCUUCAUAAUCACUUUUGAUUCUCUCAAAAUUGGAUCUAAACAUGCACUUCACUUUUUAAGUAUAUGUUUGGUUUUGCAUUGACAAAAACUGACUCUAAAUUUGAUUCUAGUUAGAUGUGAGUUGAUUGUAAAAUAAUUUAUGUUUAGAUACAUUAUGAUUAUGUAAAAGUGAGUUAAACAAUAAUUUCAAACCUAAGAUUUAUUGUAGAGUCAAAAGAUGCAAAUUCUAGUUUGAAGUUAAAAUCAAUUCAUAAGACAAUAAAUUAUUUAUACUCGAAUAGAUCCAAACAUGUCAAAAGCAAAGAUAAAUUUGAACUUACCAAGAUAUCUAGUUUUCCAAAUUGAUUCUUGAUAAAAUCUACAAAUGAUCUUAUACUCGCAGCAUCUAUGACAUCAAGUUGAUGAAAAACAACAAGACCAGGCAGAGAAAGAUGUUUCAGCUUCUCAACAGCUUCAAGACCUCUCUUUUCAUCUCUUGCAGUAAGCACCACAGUGAUCCCUUUAGAAGCCAAUUGAUUGCAUACUGCAAAUCCUAUUCCUUUGUUUGCUCCUGUAACAACUGCAUACCUAGAAACAAAAUUAACAAGGUGGUAUUAUGAGUCAUUGUCACUAAGCUUGUGGUUGAUCGUAUAUAUAUGUAAGGUAUAUUGAAGGAAAAAAAGGGUAAGGAAAAUUAGAUUAUACGUUGUUGUUGCCUCUGCCAUUGAUAUGGUAAGAGUGAGGUGCUAGCAAAUAUGAGUUGACCAAAAUGAAGAUUAUAAAUUAAUAUUGGUUUGUGGUACGUUAUGUUUAUAAUUUUGUAUCAAUUCCUUCAAAAAAAUAAAAAAUAAUUUUGUAUCAAUUGUCUUUAAAUAUUGGUUCCAACAACUAUGUUACCGGCCAAAGAAAUAAUUUUUUAUUUAUGAUAAAAAGAGUAAGUGAAUUGAAGCCGGACCUCAAAGUUAAAGAAUGUUUAUAGAGUUACACAUACAAAUCAACUAUCAAAAGAGAUGAGAGUGUUAACUUCUUAUCAACCGAGUCAAAAAUAUUUGACAUAAUUUUCUUUUUUGGUUUUUCGCAAUACAUGAAUUAUAUAAGCAUUGGUAUAUGUGUGCCCAAUGAUGAUGGAGUUUUUGUUCUAUCCAAAACCAUGAAUUUCUCUCUUUGGGUUAUGUUCCUGUUGGAGAAGCUUUAGGUUUGUACAAUGUCGACUUUGUGAUGGAUUUUAAAACAAUCAAUGACGUUGUUCACUUCAAUAGAUCUUAUAUUUUAGAAUUUGGUCAUAUCCUAUCAGGGUUCUAGAGACCCUUUCAUUCACAGUUCGCAAACUCUCGGUUGGAGUUCAACAGGCGAUAAACAAAUGCAGUAGCUCAUGUUUUAGUUGGAGAAGCCGUGUUAUCAACUAGUCUCACUAUUUAUUUUCAUAUCCCGCAUUGUACUACUGAUAUUAUUAUUAAUAAAAUGCUAUAAACAUCUCUUCUUUCAAUAAAAAAAAUAGGGAGUAAAUUUUUUCCCUUGUGGUAAUAUAUUUCAUUUUGCCUUGUUAAAAAAAAAAAAGUAUUUUAGUGCCCUAUUCUCAAAUGUAUGUAUAGGAGAUAUCGCUAGGGAUGGGUAGCGCACUUGGUUAAGUUAAGAUAUUAAAAAGUUAAGAAGCUAAAGGUAUAGGGUUUGAAUCCUAAAAAGGGAGAAAAUACUAACAUAUCAAUUAACAUACUACAAAGACUUGAAUUCGGAUCCCACAAUUGAUGAGAGAAUCUCAUUGAUGAGUAAUAUGUAAGUAACUAACCUCACGGUCCUAAUGAGCCGCUAAAAUACAACUCGCUUAAAAGUUAUGAUUUGACAUGUUUUAAAACUCGAGGAACCAUGUUGAUGGGAACAGAUGAGACUGGAUUUCCAUCGAGUCUGACUCAGCUACUCUUGUGCAAGCUCUAUUGUCUCGGAGCCAUGGUGAUUCGGAUUUCUAUGCUAUUGUUUCUAGUAUUAUUUAUCAGUUAUCUUUACAUUCUAACUUCGAGGUGAAGUUUGUUAGGAGACAAGCGAACAUGGUUGCUCAUACUUUAGCUAGGGCAACCUGUUCUUGGGCUAAUCACCAUAUUUUUUAUUCUUAUCCUACUUGUAUUGAACAUUUGUUGGUUAAUAAUAAUAGUUAACUUUAUUUUGGUAAAAAAAAUAAAAAAUAAACUCGAGGGACCAAAAAUGUGUAUUUUAAAUUGGGAGGACCAACAAUAGUAUAGAUGACAUCUACUAAUAUGGUGUGACACCAGGGGUACAUCUUUAACUAUUUGGUUAGGGUUCAAUUCCUGGUCGAACUUUAUUCUCUUUAGUGAAACACAAGUAGAAAAAAAUCAAUACAAAGUAAUUGUUUUCAGCCCAUAAUUAUCCUGCAUGUAUCUUUCACAAUUUGUUUUUUGACAACAACCAAUCUUUGAUCAAAAUGGUUUCUCUUCAUUUCUAACAAAAAAGUGACCAGAACUACCAUCAGAUAGCAAUGCCAACCUCAGAAUUGAUUCAGCACCUUCAUCAGGUGUUAGAUAACCUGUAUUGUAAAUAAUAUCUGUUUUCACAAAGCCAGGACAAACAACAUUGAUGCAUAUUGAUGGAUACUUUCUAGCCACAACCCUUGUAUAGGCAUUUAGAGCAACUUUUGAGAUAAUGUAAGUAGACAAAUUAUUAUCAGGCCAACCUUUGUUUUCUAGUGACCCCUCUUUAAAAUCCUUUAGAAAUUGAUUCAAAACUUCAUCAAUCUUUUCUUCUGUAAGUUCUUCAACAUCACUCAAUACUUCCUUAGGCCAUCCAUUUGGAAGUUUCUGCAAAUAAAAUUGCAUGAAAAUGAGCAUCAUCUACAAUAGCCUAAUAUAUCAAAAUAAGAGUGAAUUUAUAAAUUGAUUCUCAAAAUUAUUAGAACCGGUCAUAUAUAGUCUCUGAAUUUUACAAAUUGGUCAAAAGGAUCCUUUCGUUGAAUUGGUACUGUUAGAAGUUAUGAUGUAGUCCUUCUUGUCAUGCAUAUAAGCAACUAUUUCUUUUUUAAAUUCAUAAAAUAACUUAUAUAUAUUUAUAUAUGAUAUAUCAAUUAUUUAAUAAAUUUAAAAAAUAAUAAUGACUUAUACAUAUUACCAGAAGGAGUAACAUGUUAUAUUAACGUGUGGCCUUAGUGUGCAGAUGCCACAUAAAUGUCAUGUUACCAAAAACCUUCUAUGGCACAUUAAAUUCAUUAAUAUUAUAUCAUCUCUAGAGCUACCACCUCGGGAGCCACAAAUAAACUUGCAUCUUAUAUUUCAUAUUUUAUUGCCACUUGAGAUCUAUGUAAGAGGCCACAUGUUCAAUUAAGGUAUCACCUCAUAGGCUCAAACAAUAUAUAAAAGUUAGUAGAGGGACAUUUUGACACAUGUGCAGUUCUGUUUCUGAGAUUUUGAUGGUAUGAGGCAAAAGCACAACUUGGACGCUAUGAGCAUUUAUAAAUGCAAAGUCAAUAAUAAUUAUGUACGCAACAAUAUGUUAUAUCAUAUCUUUCUUCAACAAAAAAAAAAAGAUGUGAAGUUUUUCAAUAAUUUUAAUGAAAAACUUAUUUCUACACAUGCAACAAUCAUCGACAUAGAUCCCCGUGAGCUUUGCUUAGUUGGUAGAGAUAUUACAUUUUAUAUGCAGGGGCCGGGGUUUGAACCCCGAACACUCCACUUCUCCACAAUUAAAUAUAGGCACUAGACUAUUUGACAAAAAAAAAAAAUCAUCGACAUAGUUAAGAGAAUUUGAUAAGCAAUUGAAGCAUUUGACAAACUCAUGAAUUUCAAAUGUUGACAUCAACACAUUUAACAAAGAUAUUUGUAAUACUUUUAAUACAUAAAAAAUCAUUUGCGUCAACAUUCGACAAAUACUUAUGAAAAAACGCAGCCUCAUAAUUUGUUUAAGAUUUUUUUUAAUUCAUCAUUUCCAAUGAUUUUAAGGUUCUUGCAGCAAAUAAAAGUUCAACAAUACUUUUAAAUACUUCAAACUGCUCAAAACUAAUUUUCAAUAAAACUAUUGUCAUAUCAACAACCAUAAAAGCAAUGAUUGACUCUAAAUGAUUCCUCGGUGAUUGUAUUUGCUUAUCAUUAUCAUUAUCACCAUAUUGUCUUUUUCUAAAGCUGCAACACUUUGUCGAAAGUGUCGGCUCUACACUCAUAUCAAAUGCAAGGCUUUUGGCUACGAUCAUACUAGGUUUUAUUUCUAUAUUUUUCAAAGUAUAAGAUUAUACCUUACACUUUUUUUUUUUUUUUUUUUAAAUAUUGGGGCCCAUAUUUUAGAAUUAUUUUUUGGGAUAUAGGAUUGUUGUCCUCUUCACCCUGCCUUAGAUAUAGUCCUGCUAAUGUGUUACAUUUCUAGUUUUUAAAAAUGUAUUUGCUAAUUCUUAACGGAAAAGCUUCAUAUUUUAAUUUUCGAUAUAUUGAAUGUAUAAGUUUUUAUAAAAACUUACUAUCUAAAGUUCUUAAGGAGUGCCUUAGAACAGUCAUUGACAUUUCUUUUAAAAGUUAAAUACUAUUUUGACUAUGCUCACAAUUUGAGGAUUAAUUUGCCUAUUUAUUCUCAAAGUUAAACAACAUAUAUACCUCAAAUCAAAUCAAUGAAAUAUUUAACUUAGAAAAUUUUCAUUAGUUUAAGUGUUUCUAAAUAAUCUUCCAAAGCAGUGCCACAUACCUCCAACUUUCCCAUGGAUGCGGAAACAUUGACAACUUUUGGUGAGCUUGAAAGCUGGAGAAAUGGAAUAAGGGCUUCUGUCAAGUCCUUUGCUCCAUAGUAGUUUGUUUUAAUACCUAAUUCAGUUUGUUCAUAGGUUUGAGUUAUUAUUUUACUCCAAUCAAUCUGGCCACCAUUUU
This 7824-nucleotide long non-coding RNA is filed under the name Medicago truncatula (barrel medic). RNAcentral describes it as "long non-coding RNA (MTRU_LNC006021)". The record is from RNAcentral. Lineage: Eukaryota; Viridiplantae; Streptophyta; Magnoliopsida; Fabales; Fabaceae.